This 141-nucleotide ribosomal RNA is filed under the name uncultured bacterium. Its description in RNAcentral is "partial 16S ribosomal RNA". The record is from RNAcentral.
GCACGUAGUUAGCCGGUGCUUCUUCUGCAGGUACCGUCACUUUCGCUUCUUCCCUGCUGAAAGAGGUUUACAACCCGAAGGCCGUCAUCCCGCACGCGGCGUUGCUGCAUCAGGCUUGCGCCCAUUGUGCAAUAUUCCCCA